GCUAUAGCGGAACUGAAACCGCUAAAGUGGCAGCACAUCUGAUAGAAACAUCUGGCACUAUCUGAUGUGGCGAAAGCCUGCGGGGUAUAUAGGGUAAAUAAAUUCGAGCAAUUGCUGAUGGAAACGACACUUCCAUCAGUUUUU
Molecule: small RNA, 144 nt
Filed under: pig gut metagenome
Description: FuFi-1 RNA
Rfam family: FuFi-1 RNA
Source: RNAcentral